Molecule: ribosomal RNA, 625 nt
Filed under: Colletotrichum truncatum
Lineage: Eukaryota; Fungi; Ascomycota; Sordariomycetes; Glomerellales; Glomerellaceae
Description: eukaryotic LSU rRNA
Rfam family: Eukaryotic large subunit ribosomal RNA
Source: RNAcentral
GUUGACCUCGGAUCAGGUAGGAAUACCCGCUGAACUUAAGCAUAUCAAUAAGCGGAGGAAAAGAAACCAACAGGGAUUGCCCCAGUAACGGCGAGUGAAGCGGCAACAGCUCAAAUUUGAAAUCUGGCCCUAGGCCCGAGUUGUAAUUUGCAGAGGAUGCUUUUGGCGCGGUGCCUUCCGAGUUCCCUGGAACGGGACGCCAUAGAGGGUGAGAGCCCCGUACGGUUGGACACCAAGUCUUUGUAAAGCUCCUUCGACGAGUCGAGUAGUUUGGGAAUGCUGCUCAAAAUGGGAGGUAUAUUUCUUCUAAAGCUAAAUAUUGGCCAGAGACCGAUAGCGCACAAGUAGAGUGAUCGAAAGAUGAAAAGCACUUUGAAAAGAGGGUUAAACAGCACGUGAAAUUGUUAAAAGGGAAGCGCUUGUGACCAGACUUGCGUCCGGUGAAUCACCCAGCUCUCGCGGCUGGGGCAUUUUGCCGGCUCAGGCCAGCAUCAGCUUGCCGUCGGGGACAAAAGCUUCGGGAAAGUAGCUCUCUUCGGGGAGUGUUAUAGCCCGUUGCAUAAUACCCUUCGGUGGGCUGAGGUACGCGCUCCGCAAGGAUGCUGGCGUAAUGGUCAUCAGCGAC